GAUGAACGCUAGCGGGAGGCUUAAUACAUGCAAGUCGAGCGGGAUUCUCCUUCGGGAGAUGAGAGCGGCGCACGGGUGAGUAACGCGUACGUAACCUGCCUUACAGAGGGGAAUAGCCCUGGGAAACUGGGAUUAAUACUCCAUAGUAUAUAGAUGGCGCAUGCUGUUUAUAUUAAAGUUGAGGCGCUGUAAGAUGGGCGUGCGUGCUAUUAGCUAGUUGGUGAGGUAACGGCUCACCAAGGCUACGAUAGCUAGGGGGCGUGAGAGCGUGGCCCCCCACACGGGUACGUGAGACACGGACCCGACCUCCUACGGGAGGCAGCGAGUAAGGAAUAUUGGACAAUGGUCG
Molecule: ribosomal RNA, 349 nt
Filed under: uncultured bacterium
Lineage: Bacteria
Description: bacterial SSU rRNA
Rfam family: Bacterial small subunit ribosomal RNA
Source: RNAcentral